AGCAGCCGCGGUAAUUCCAGCUCCAAUAGCGUAUAUUAAAGUUGUUGCAGUUAAAAAGCUCGUAGUUGAAUUUCGGGGUUAGUAGAUUGGUCGUGCCACUGGUAUGUACUGGUCUUACUGAUUCCUCCUUCCUGAUGAGCCGUAAUGCCAUUAAUUUGGUGUUGCGAGGAAUCUGGACUGUUACUUUGAAAAAAUUAGAGUGUUUAAAGCAAGCUAACGCUUGAAUACAUUAGCAUGGAAUAAUGAAAUAGGACGUUCGGUCUUAUUUUGUUGGUUUCUAAGAUUGACGUAAUGAUUAAUAGGGAUAGUUGGGGGCAUUGGUAUUCAAUUGUCAGAGGUGAAAUUCUUGGAUUUAUUGAAGACUAACUACUGCGAAAGCAUUUGCCAAGGAUGUUUUCAUUAAUCAAGAACGAAAGUUAGGGGAUCGAAGACGAUCAGAUACCGUCGUAGUCUUAACCAUAAACUAUGCCGACUAGGGAUCGGAUGAUGUUAAUUUUUUAAUGACUCA
RNAcentral lists this ribosomal RNA (508 nucleotides) under uncultured Glomus. RNAcentral describes it as "SSU rRNA". It matches the Rfam family "Eukaryotic small subunit ribosomal RNA", at positions 569 to 1078 of the family's 1831-position model. Lineage: Eukaryota; Fungi; Glomeromycota; Glomeromycetes; Glomerales; Glomeraceae. The record is from RNAcentral.